GGGUUGUGAGGUUAAGCGACUAAGCGUACACGGUGGAUGCCCUGGCAGUCAGAGGCGAUGAAGGGCGUGCUAAUCUGCGAUAAGCGCCGGUAAGGUGAUAUGAACCGUUAUAACCGGCGAUACCCGAAUGGGGAAACCCAGUGUGACUCGUCACACUAUCAUUAACUGAAUCCAUAGGUUAAUGAGGCGAACCGGGGGAACUGAAACAUCUAAGUACCCCGAGGAAAAGAAAUCAACCGAGAUUCCCCCAGUAGCGGCGAGCGAACGGGGAGGAGCCCAGAGCCUGAAUCAGCAUGUGUGUUAGUGGAAGCGUCUGGAAAGGCGCGCGAUACAGGGUGACAGCCCCGUACACAAAAGCGCACGUGCUGUGAGCUCGAUGAGUAGGGCGGGACACGUGGUAUCCUGUCUGAAUAUGGGGGGACCAUCCUCCAAGGCUAAAUACUCCUGACUGACCGAUAGUGAACCAGUACCGUGAGGGAAAGGCGAAAAGAACCCCGGCGAGGGGAGUGAAAAAGAACCUGAAACCGUGUACGUACAAGCAGUGGGAGCACAGGUUUACCUGUGUGACUGCGUACCUUUUGUAUAAUGGGUCAGCGACUUAUAUUCUGUAGCAAGGUUAACCGUAUAGGGGAGCCGGAGGGAAACCGAGUCUUAACCGGGCGUUAAGUUGCAGGGUAUAGACCCGAAACCCGGUGAUCUAGCCAUGGGCAGGUUGAAGGUUGGGUAACACUAACUGGAGGACCGAACCGACUAAUGUUGAAAAAUUAGCGGAUGACCUGUGGCUGGGGGUGAAAGGCCAAUCAAACCGGGAGAUAGCUGGUUCUCCCCGAAAGCUAUUUAGGUAGCGCCUCGUGAAUUCAUCUCCGGGGGUAGAGCACUGUUUCGGCUAGGGGGCCAUCCCGGCUUACCAACCCGAUGCAAACUGCGAAUACCGGAGAAUGUUAUCACGGGAGACACACGGCGGGUGCUAACGUCCGUCGUGAAGAGGGAAACAACCCAGACCGCCAGCUAAGGUCCCAAAGUCAUGGUUAAGUGGGAAACGAUGUGGGAAGGCCCAGACAGCCAGGAUGUUGGCUUAGAAGCAGCCAUCAUUUAAAGAAAGCGUAAUAGCUCACUGGUCGAGUCGGCCUGCGCGGAAGAUGUAACGGGGCUAAACCAUGCACCGAAGCUGCGGCAGCGACACUGUGUGUUGUUGGGUAGGGGAGCGUUCUGUAAGCCUGCGAAGGUGGCCUGUGAGGGUUGCUGGAGGUAUCAGAAGUGCGAAUGCUGACAUAAGUAACGAUAAAGCGGGUGAAAAGCCCGCUCGCCGGAAGACCAAGGGUUCCUGUCCAACGUUAAUCGGGGCAGGGUGAGUCGACCCCUAAGGCGAGGCCGAAAGGCGUAGUCGAUGGGAAACGGGUUAAUAUUCCCGUACUUGGUGUUACUGCGAAGGGGGGACGGAGAAGGCUAUGUUGGCCGGGCGACGGUUGUCCCGGUUUAAGCGUGUAGGCUGGUUUUCCAGGCAAAUCCGGAAAAUCAAGGCUGAGGCGUGACGACGAGGCACUACGGUGCUGAAGCAACAAAUGCCCUGCUUCCAGGAAAAGCCUCUAAGCAUCAGGUAACAUCAAAUCGUACCCCAAACCGACACAGGUGGUCAGGUAGAGAAUACCAAGGCGCUUGAGAGAACUCGGGUGAAGGAACUAGGCAAAAUGGUGCCGUAACUUCGGGAGAAGGCACGCUGACACGUAGGUGAAGUGAUUUACUCAUGGAGCUGAAGUCAGUCGAAGAUACCAGCUGGCUGCAACUGUUUAUUAAAAACACAGCACUGUGCAAACACGAAAGUGGACGUAUACGGUGUGACGCCUGCCCGGUGCCGGAAGGUUAAUUGAUGGGGUCAGCGCAAGCGAAGCUCCUGAUCGAAGCCCCGGUAAACGGCGGCCGUAACUAUAACGGUCCUAAGGUAGCGAAAUUCCUUGUCGGGUAAGUUCCGACCUGCACGAAUGGCGUAAUGAUGGCCAGGCUGUCUCCACCCGAGACUCAGUGAAAUUGAACUCGCUGUGAAGAUGCAGUGUACCCGCGGCAAGACGGAAAGACCCCGUGAACCUUUACUAUAGCUUGACACUGAACAUUGAGCCUUGAUGUGUAGGAUAGGUGGGAGGCUUUGAAGUGUGGACGCCAGUCUGCAUGGAGCCAACCUUGAAAUACCACCCUUUAAUGUUUGAUGUUCUAACGUGGACCCGUUACCCGGGUUGCGGACAGUGUCUGGUGGGUAGUUUGACUGGGGCGGUCUCCUCCUAAAGAGUAACGGAGGAGCACGAAGGUUGGCUAAUCCUGGUCGGACAUCAGGAGGUUAGUGCAAUGGCAUAAGCCAGCUUGACUGCGAGCGUGACGGCGCGAGCAGGUGCGAAAGCAGGUCAUAGUGAUCCGGUGGUUCUGAAUGGAAGGGCCAUCGCUCAACGGAUAAAAGGUACUCCGGGGAUAACAGGCUGAUACCGCCCAAGAGUUCAUAUCGACGGCGGUGUUUGGCACCUCGAUGUCGGCUCAUCACAUCCUGGGGCUGAAGUAGGUCCCAAGGGUAUGGCUGUUCGCCAUUUAAAGUGGUACGCGAGCUGGGUUUAGAACGUCGUGAGACAGUUCGGUCCCUAUCUGCCGUGGGCGCUGGAGAACUGAGGGGGGCUGCUCCUAGUACGAGAGGACCGGAGUGGACGCAUCACUGGUGUUCGGGUUGUCAUGCCAAUGGCACUGCCCGGUAGCUAAAUGCGGAAGAGAUAAGUGCUGAAAGCAUCUAAGCACGAAACUUGCCCCGAGAUGAGUUCUCCCUGAGACUUAAAGUCUCCUGAAGGAACGUUGAAGACGACGACGUUGAUAGGCCGGGUGUGUAAGCGCAGCGAUGCGUUGAGCUAACCGGUACUAAUGAACCGUGAGGCUUAACCUUACAACGCCGAAGGUGUUU
Molecule: ribosomal RNA, 2932 nt
Filed under: Salmonella enterica subsp. enterica serovar Weslaco str. 247K
Lineage: Bacteria; Pseudomonadati; Pseudomonadota; Gammaproteobacteria; Enterobacterales; Enterobacteriaceae
Description: bacterial LSU rRNA
Rfam family: Bacterial large subunit ribosomal RNA
Source: RNAcentral